UAAAUUUAAGCAUAUAAGUAGGUGGUGGAAAACAAACCAAAUGGGAUUCUUCAAGUAAUGGCGAAUGAACCUAGAUAUGCUCAAUUUGAAAAAUACAGUGAUACUGUUUGACAUGUAAUUUCAAAAUGUACAACCAAUUGGCAUGCAAGUGGAAGCUCAUUGAAAGAAUGCGUCGAAGAAGGUGAAAAUCCAUUUUGCCACUUGUAAUGUUGUUGUUUAUGGUGUAUAUUUCAGGAGUCACAUUCCUUGGCAUUGGAAUGCAAUGUGGGUGGUAAACUUCAUGCAAAGAUUAAUAUGUGUUUGAGAUUGAUAGUACACAAAUACCGUGAGGGAAAUAUGAAAAGGACUUUGAAAAGAGAUUUAAAAGAGUUUGCAGUUGCUGAACAAAAAACAAAUAGGAUGUCCACGAUUGAGCAGAUUGUUGAACCUCGGUUUGCUUCAAUUGCUAGCAUGUGUGUAUUCAAUGAUUCUAUCUUUGUCUACCAUACCAUUCUCAGCGUAUCAUGCCACUUGCAGGUGCUUCGUGUUUUUGCUUGCGAGCUAAUGACAACACCUGCUUGAGAAUGGUAUGCCAAGUGUUUUUGUGCUUAGAGUCUGCAUGGUGCUAUUGUUAAGCUGCAGGUUUGAACUUGUGCUUUGAGCUGUGCUCUACCUUUUGCAUAUGUCUAUUGGUGAUCAUAUCCUGCUUGACC
RNAcentral lists this ribosomal RNA (692 nucleotides) under Coolia canariensis. RNAcentral's name for it is "eukaryotic LSU rRNA". It matches the Rfam family "Eukaryotic large subunit ribosomal RNA", at positions 29 to 649 of the family's 3401-position model. Lineage: Eukaryota; Dinophyceae; Peridiniales; Ostreopsidaceae. The record is from RNAcentral.